CCGGCGAUGUCCGAAUGGGGAAACCCAGUGCAAUUCGUUGCACUAUCGUUAACUGAAUACAUAGGUUAACGAGGCGAACCGGGGGAACUGAAACAUCUAAGUACCCCGAGGAAAAGAAAUCAACCGAGAUUCCCCCAGUAGCGGCGAGCGAACGGGGAGCAGCCCAGAGUCUGAAUCAGCUUGUGUGUUAGUGGAACGGUCUGGAAAGUCCGACGGUACAGGGUGAUAGUCCCGUACACCAAAAUGCACAGGCUGUGAACUCGAAGAGUAGGGCGGGACACGUGGUAUCCUGUCUGAAUAUGGGGGGACCAUCCUCCAAGGCUAAAUACUCCUGACUGACCGAUAGUGAACCAGUACCGUGAGGGAAAGGCGAAAAGAACCCCGGCGAGGGGAGUGAAAAAGAACCUGAAACCGUGUACGUACAAGCAGUGGGAGCACCUUCGGGUGUGACUGCGUACCUUUUGUAUAAUGGGUCAGCGACUUAUAUUCUGUAGCAAGGUUAACCGUAUAGGGGAGCCGCAGGGAAACCGAGUCUUAACUGGGCGUUAAGUUGCAGGGUAUAGACCCGAAACCCGGUGAUCUAGCCAUGGGCAGGUUGAAGGUUGGGUAACACUAACUGGAGGACCGAACCGACUAAUGUUGAAAAAUUAGCGGAUGACUUGUGGCUGGGGGUGAAAGGCCAAUCAAACCGGGAGAUAGCUGGUUCUCCCCGAAAGCUAUUUAGGUAGCGCCUCGUGAACUCAUCUUCGGGGGUAGAGCACUGUUUCGGCUAGGGGGUCAUCCCGACUUACCAACCCGAUGCAAACUACGAAUACCGAAGAAUGUUAUCACGGGAGACACACGGCGGGUGCUAACGUCCGUCGUGAAGAGGGAAACAACCCAGACCGCCAGCUAAGGUCCCAAAGUCAUGGUUAAGUGGGAAACGAUGUGGGAAGGCACAGACAGCCAGGAUGUUGGCUUAGAAGCAGCCAUCAUUUAAAGAAAGCGUAAUAGCUCACUGGUCGAGUCGGCCUGCGCGGAAGAUGUAACGGGGCUAAACCAUGCACCGAAGCUGCGGCAGCGACACUAUGUGUUGUUGGGUAGGGGAGCGUUCUGUAAGCCUGCGAAGGUGACCUGUGAGGGUUGCUGGAGGUAUCAGAAGUGCGAAUGCUGACAUAAGUAACGAUAAAGCGGGUGAAAAGCCCGCUCGCCGGAAGACCAAGGGUUCCUGUCCAACGUUAAUCGGGGCAGGGUGAGUCGACCCCUAAGGCGAGGCCGAAAGGCGUAGUCGAUGGGAAACAGGUUAAUAUUCCUGUACUUGGUGUUACUGCGAAGGGGGGACGGAGAAGGCUAUGUUAGCCGGGCGACGGUUGUCCCGGUUUAAGCAUGUAGGCUGGUUAUCCAGGCAAAUCCGGAUAAUCAAGGCUGAGGUGUGAUGACGAGGCACUACGGUGCUGAAGUAACAAAUGCCCUGCUUCCAGGAAAAGCCUCUAAGCAUCAGGUAACAUCAAAUCGUACCCCAAACCGACACAGGUGGUCAGGUAGAGAAUACCAAGGCGCUUGAGAGAACUCGGGUGAAGGAACUAGGCAAAAUGGUGCCGUAACUUCGGGAGAAGGCACGCUGGUGUGUAGGUGAAGUCCCUGCGGAUGGAGCUGAGACCAGUCGAAGAUACCAGCUGGCUGCAACUGUUUAUUAAAAACACAGCACUGUGCAAACACGAAAGUGGACGUAUACGGUGUGACGCCUGCCCGGUGCCGGAAGGUUAAUUGAUGGGGUUAUCCGUAAGGAGAAGCUCUUGAUCGAAGCCCCGGUAAACGGCGGCCGUAACUAUAACGGUCCUAAGGUAGCGAAAUUCCUUGUCGGGUAAGUUCCGACCUGCACGAAUGGCGUAAUGAUGGCCAGGCUGUCUCCACCCGAGACUCAGUGAAAUUGAACUCGCUGUGAAGAUGCAGUGUACCCGCGGCAAGACGGAAAGACCCCGUGAACCUUUACUAUAGCUUGACACUGAACAUUGAGCCUUGAUGUGUAGGAUAGGUGGGAGGCUUUGAAGCGUGGACGCCAGUCUGCGUGGAGCCAACCUUGAAAUACCACCCUUUAAUGUUUGAUGUUCUAACGUUGGCCCCUGACCGGGGUUGCGGACAGUGUCUGGUGGGUAGUUUGACUGGGGCGGUCUCCUCCCAAAGCGUAACGGAGGAGCACGAAGGUUAGCUAAUCCUGGUCGGACAUCAGGAGGUUAGUGCAAUGGCAUAAGCUAGCUUGACUGCGAGCGUGACGGCGCGAGCAGGUGCGAAAGCAGGUCAUAGUGAUCCGGUGGUUCUGAAUGGAAGGGCCAUCGCUCAACGGAUAAAAGGUACUCCGGGGAUAACAGGCUGAUACCGCCCAAGAGUUCAUAUCGACGGCGGUGUUUGGCACCUCGAUGUCGGCUCAUCACAUCCUGGGGCUGAAGUAGGUCCCAAGGGUAUGGCUGUUCGCCAUUUAAAGUGGUACGCGAGCUGGGUUUAGAACGUCGUGAGACAGUUCGGUCCCUAUCUGCCGUGGGCGCUGGAGAAUUGAGGGGGGCUGCUCCUAGUACGAGAGGACCGGAGUGGACGCAUCACUGGUGUUCGGGUUGUCAUGCCAAUGGCACUGCCCGGUAGCUAAAUGCGGAAGAGAUAAGUGCUGAAAGCAUCUAAGCACGAAACUUGCCCCGAGAUGAGUUCUCCCUGAGACUUUAAGUCUCCUGAAGGAACGUUAAAGACGAUGACGUUGAUAGGCCGGGUGUGUAAGCGCAGCGAUGCGUUGAGCUAACCGGUACUAAUGAACCGUGAGGCUUAACCUU
RNAcentral lists this ribosomal RNA (2798 nucleotides) under Klebsiella pneumoniae. RNAcentral's name for it is "partial 23S ribosomal RNA". It matches the Rfam family "Bacterial large subunit ribosomal RNA". Lineage: Bacteria; Pseudomonadati; Pseudomonadota; Gammaproteobacteria; Enterobacterales; Enterobacteriaceae. The record is from RNAcentral.